CUUUUUAGGGAGACCGUCUGAGUUGAGAGUUCGUAGAGACGCGAAAUUUUGCGUCUGUACAGGGUUCAGACUUGAGACAUCCCAAGGUCGUUCGGGGAAUUGGUGAAACUUUCAAACUUUAGGUUUUGGGAAUGGGCUAUUAGCUCAGGUGGUUAGAGCGCACCCCUGAUAAGGGUGAGGUCCCUGGUUCAAGUCCAGGAUGGCCCACUAGUAGGUGGUAACAGCCGUUGACCCCUACAGAAGAGGGGGUAUAGCUCAGCUGGUAGAGCGCCUGCUUUGCAAGCAGGAUGUCAGCGGUUCGAGUCCGCUUACCUCCACCAACCCCCAAACAAAAGCAAGAAUUCAGCACCGAGAAAGUUAAAGUUAACCAGACAACUUUCCGACUGCUGGAGUCUUGGACUCCAGAACAUGUACCUUGAAAACUGCAUAGAAAUCAGGCUUAAAAGUAGUAAUUGAGAAAAGAUUCAGGUAGUCGAAAGACUUUAACUGGGUCUCACCAAAAGAGGUCAAGCUACCAAGAGCUAACGGUGG
This 531-nucleotide transfer RNA is filed under the name Synechocystis pevalekii BDHKU 35301. RNAcentral's name for it is "partial contains 16S-23S ribosomal RNA intergenic spacer, tRNA-Ile and tRNA-Ile". The stretch from base 245 to 317 matches the Rfam family "tRNA". The record is from RNAcentral. Lineage: Bacteria; Bacillati; Cyanobacteriota; Cyanophyceae; Synechococcales; Merismopediaceae.